This 371-nucleotide ribosomal RNA is filed under the name uncultured organism. Its description in RNAcentral is "partial 16S ribosomal RNA". It matches the Rfam family "Bacterial small subunit ribosomal RNA", at positions 527 to 896 of the family's 1533-position model. The record is from RNAcentral.
GAAGGUGGCGAGCGUUGUUCGGAAUCACUGGGCUUAAAGAGCACGUAGGCGGAUUAUCAAGCGUCCUGUGAAAUCCCUCGACUCAACCGAGGAAUUGCUUGGCGAACUGAUAGUCUUGAGGCAGGCAGGGGCAAGUGGAACUCUUGGUGGAGCGGUGGAAUGCGCAGAUAUCAAGAGGAACGCCAGAGGCGAAGGCGACUUGCUGGGCCUGUCCUGACGCUCAGGUGCGAAAGCCAGGGGAGCGAACGGGAUUAGAUACCCCGGUAGUCCUGGCCCCUAAACGAUGUCAACUAGAUCGAUGGUUCUCUGACGUUCUGUCGGUCGAAAUAAAACCGUUAAGUUGACCGCCUGGGAGUACGGUCGCAAGGCUA